Molecule: ribosomal RNA, 483 nt
Filed under: uncultured bacterium
Lineage: Bacteria
Description: partial 16S ribosomal RNA
Rfam family: Bacterial small subunit ribosomal RNA
Source: RNAcentral
AUUGAACGCUGGCGGCAUGCUUUACACAUGCAAGUCGAACGGCAGCGCGGGCUUCGGCCUGGCGGCGAGUGGCGAACGGGUGAGUAAUACAUCGAACGGGCCCAGGAGUGGGGGGAAGGCCGGGGAAAGCCGGAAUAAUACCGCAAACGACCCGAGGGGGAAAGCGGGGGGUUCUUGGACCCCGCGGCAUUUGAGCGGCCGAUGGCAGAUUAGCUAGUUGGUGGGGUAAAGGCCUACCAAGGCGACGAUCUGUAGCUGGUCUGAGAGGACGACCAGCCACACUGGGACUGAGACACGGCCCAGACUCCUACGGGAGGCAGCAGUGGGGAAUUUUGGACAAUGGGCGAAAGCCUGAUCCAGCAAUGCCGCGUGUGUGAUGAAGGCCUUCGGGUUGUAAAGCACUUUUGGCGGGAACGAAAAGGACUGUGCCAAUACCACGGUUCGAUGACGGUACCCGCAGAAUAAGCACCGGCUAACUACGUG